RNAcentral lists this small nuclear RNA (306 nucleotides) under Theropithecus gelada (gelada). RNAcentral describes it as "7SK RNA (ENSTGEG00000018374.1)". It matches the Rfam family "7SK RNA". Rfam says of the family: 7SK was discovered as an abundant small nuclear RNA in the mid-70s but a possible function has only recently been suggested. Two independent studies have found that 7SK RNA binds the CDK9/cyclin T complex (known as elongation factor P-TEFb). P-TEFb activates transcription by phosphorylating the C-terminal domain of RNA polymerase II. Lineage: Eukaryota; Metazoa; Chordata; Mammalia; Primates; Cercopithecidae. The record is from Rfam by way of RNAcentral.
GGCUGUGAGGGCGAUCUGGCUGCGACAUCUGUCACCACAUUGAUCACCAGGGUCGAUCCAGCUGAUCUGGCUGGCUAGGUGUAUGUCCCCUUCCUCCCUCAAUGCUCCAUGUGCAUCCCUCCAGAAGCUGCACACUUGGUCAAGGACGACGACCAUCCCUCAUAGAGGAGGACCGGUCUUUGGUCAAGGGUAUACGAAUAGCUGUGCUCCCGUUAGAACCUCCCAACAAGAUCUCAAAAUAAGAAACAACUAAGGGAAAGUCACCAAAAUACAUCUUCUUAAAAGUCAUGUAGACUACUUUACAGA